GACGAACGCUGGCGGCGUGCCUAAUACAUGCAAGUAGAACGCUGAAGAGAGGAGCUUGCUCUUCUUGGAUGAGUUGCGAACGGGUGAGUAACGCGUAGGUAACCUGCCUUGUAGCGGGGGAUAACUAUUGGAAACGAUAGCUAAUACCGCAUAACAAUGGAUGACACAUGUCAUUUAUUUGAAAGGGGCAAUUGCUCCACUACAAGAUGGACCUGCGUUGUAUUAGCUAGUAGGUGAGGUAAUGGCCCACCUAGGCGACGAUACAUAGCCGACCUGAGAGGGUGAUCGGCCACACUGGGACUGGGACAAGGCCCAGACUCCUACGGGAGGCAGCAGUAGGGAAUCUUCGGCAAUGGGGGCAACCCUGACCGAGCAACGCCGCGUGAGUGAAGAAGGGUUUCGGAUCGUAAAGCUCUGUUGUAAGUCAAGAACGGGUGUGAGAGUGGAAAGUUCACACUGUGACGGUAGCUUACCAGAAAGGGACGGCUAACUACGUG
This 497-nucleotide ribosomal RNA is filed under the name uncultured bacterium. RNAcentral's name for it is "partial 16S ribosomal RNA". It matches the Rfam family "Bacterial small subunit ribosomal RNA", at positions 28 to 507 of the family's 1533-position model. The record is from RNAcentral.